This 904-nucleotide long non-coding RNA is filed under the name Marmota monax (woodchuck). Lineage: Eukaryota; Metazoa; Chordata; Mammalia; Rodentia; Sciuridae. The record is from RNAcentral.
CACAUCCUUGCCAACAGUUAUUUUUUUCUUGUAUUCUUGAUAACUGCAAUUCUGACUAGAGUGAGAUGAAAUCUUAAGAGUAGUUUUGAUUUGCAUUUCUCUAAUUGCUAGAGAUAUAGAAUAUUUUUUCAUAUAUUUGUUGAUCAAUUGUAUAUCUUCUGAGAAGUGUCUGUUUAGUUCCUUGGCCCAUUUAUUGAUUGGGUUAUCUUUUUUUUUUUUUUGGUGUUAAGUUUUUUGAGUUCUUUAUAUAUCCUAGAGAUUAGUGCUCUAUCUGAUGUGCUUGUGGUAAAAAUUUGCUCCCAUUCUGUAGGUUCUCUCUUCACUUCAUUGUUUGUUCUUUUUUCAUUUUUUAUUUUAAUUUGUUAUAUAUAACAGCAUAAUGCAUUACAAUUAAUAUUACACAAUUAGAGCACAAUUUUUCAUAUCUCUGGUUGUACAGAACAUAGAGUCACACCAUUCGUGUCUUCAUACAUGUACUUACAGUAAUGGUGUCCAUCUCAUUCCACCUUCCUUCUUAUCUGCAAGCCCCCUCCCUUCCCCUCCUUCCCCUUUUCCCUUUCGCCCUAUCUAGAGUUCAUCUAAUCCUCCCAUGCCCCACUGCAUUAUGAAUCAGCAGCCUUAAAUCCAUCCCAUUUAUUGAUUCUUGAUAUUAAUUUUUACGCUAUAGGAGUCUUAUUAAGGAAGUUGGGGCCUAAUCUGACAUGAUAGAAAUUUGGACCUACUUUUUCUUCUAAUAGACACAGUCUCUCUGGUUUAAUUCCUAGGUCCUUGAUCCACUUUGAGUUGAGUUGUGUGCAUGGUGAGAGAUAGGGGUUUAAUUUCAUUUUGUUGCAUAUGGAUUUCGAGUUUUCCUAGCACCAUGUGUUGAAGAGGCUGUCUUUUCUCCAAUGUACGCUUUUGGCAC